RNAcentral lists this ribosomal RNA (705 nucleotides) under uncultured bacterium. Its description in RNAcentral is "bacterial SSU rRNA". It matches the Rfam family "Bacterial small subunit ribosomal RNA", at positions 1 to 716 of the family's 1533-position model. The record is from RNAcentral.
UCUCUCACAUCGAUCAGAGAUAGAUCCUGGCUCAGGACGAUCUCUCGCGGUGUGCUUAACACAUACAAGUCGAGCGGGGUCCAACCAGUGGCAACACUGGGGAAGACCUAGCGGCGAACGGGUGAGUAACACCUGAGAAACCUGCCCCGAAGUCUGGGAUAACCCGAGGAAACUCGAGCUAAUACCGGAUGCCUUCCACUGAUCGCAUGGUCGGUGGAUGAAAGAACUUCGCUUCGGGAGGGUCUCGCGGCCUAUCAGCUUGUUGGCGGGGUAACGGCCCACCAAGGCAUCGACGGGUAGCUGGUCUGAGAGGACGAUCAGCCACACUGGGACUGAGACACGGCCCAGACUCCUACGGGAGGCAGCAGUGGGGAAUAUUGCGCAAUGGGCGAAAGCCUGACGCAGCAACGCCGCGUGCGGGAUGAAGGCCUUCGGGUUGUAAACCGCUUUCAGUGGGGGACGAAAUUGACGGGUACCACAGAAGAAGCCCGGCCAACUACGUGCCAGCAGCCGCGGUACACGUAGGGGGCGAGCGUUGUCUGGAUUUAUUGGGCGUAAGAGCUCGUAGGCGGCUCGGUAGUCGGGUGUGAAACUCUAGCUCACCUAAAGACCCCCCUGAUACUGCUGUGGCUAGAGUCCGGUGGGGAGCAUGGGAUUUCCUGGUGUAGCGGUGAAAGCGCAAAAUUCCGGAGGGAAACCCCCCGC